Non-coding RNA from Danio rerio (zebrafish), 83 nucleotides. NCBI's taxonomy places the organism in Eukaryota, Metazoa, Chordata, Actinopteri, Cypriniformes, Danionidae. The record is from Rfam.
GUCAGGUUGGCCGAGUGGACUAAGGCGCUGAGUUCAGGACGCAGUCUCUGCUAGAGGUGUUGGUUCAAACACCACAUCUGACA